Molecule: transfer RNA, 94 nt
Filed under: Occallatibacter riparius
Lineage: Bacteria; Pseudomonadati; Acidobacteriota; Terriglobia; Terriglobales; Acidobacteriaceae
Description: tRNA-Sec
Rfam family: Selenocysteine transfer RNA
Source: RNAcentral
GGAAGCGCCUAGGAUCCGGUGAUCCUCCCGGUCUUCAAAACCGGCGGUCGUCCUUUUGGGCAACGGUGUGUUCGACUCACACGCGCUUCCGCCA